This 412-nucleotide long non-coding RNA is filed under the name Manihot esculenta (cassava). RNAcentral describes it as "long non-coding RNA (MESC_LNC013066)". Lineage: Eukaryota; Viridiplantae; Streptophyta; Magnoliopsida; Malpighiales; Euphorbiaceae. The record is from RNAcentral.
AAUAUGCUGCGCACACAUGUACCUUGGAACCCAUAUCUCUCUUUUCAAGGCGCUUCCUCUCCUUCGAUAUCUACAGCCUAUAUUGAUUUCUAAAUGUUUGUGCAUUUCUCCUCCUCUGUAAGGCCUUUUAUAUUUCAGGCGGCUCAUUUAAUUUACUCAAGGUUUAUUACAGGCUGUAGCAUUUUCAUACAUCCCGUUUGCUGUUUUUACUUUUUGUUUUGCGUUAAAUGUUUUGAGCUUAAAAAACAAAAGGCCUACGUACGCUAACCUGCAACUAAAAACUACAACUUCCGCAUUUCUCUCUAACAUAUUCUUUUAUAUUGGAACCCUUUAUAACUUAUGCAACAACCUCUUCGUUCUCCCACAAUAUUCUGGACGUAUUGGACACGAAACGAGCCCGGAGACCGCACCC